UGGGGGAUAUUGGACAAUGGGGGGAACCCUGAUCCAGCGACGCCGCGUGAGUGAAGAAGUAUUUCGGUAUGUAAAGCUCUGUCAGCAGGGAAGAAAGAAUGACGGUACCUGACCAAGAAGCCCCGGNUAACUACGUGCCAGCAGCCGNGGUAAUCUGUC
RNAcentral lists this ribosomal RNA (159 nucleotides) under uncultured bacterium. RNAcentral's name for it is "partial 16S ribosomal RNA". It matches the Rfam family "Bacterial small subunit ribosomal RNA", at positions 355 to 529 of the family's 1533-position model. The record is from RNAcentral.